UACCGUGAGGGAAAGGCGAAAAGAACCCCGGCGAGGGGAGUGAAACAGAACCUGAAACCGUGUACGUACAAGCAGUGGGAGCCCCACCACCAAAGCGUUUCGCUUUGCGUGGUGCGCAAAAUGCGUAACGACAGCACGAUUGCGGUUAACGGAGCGUAAGCGACGUUCAACACAAGAAUCAGGCAGUGGAGCGUUUUGGGGUGGGGUGACUGCGUACCUUUUGUAUAAUGGGUCAGCGACUUAUAUUCUGUAGCAAGGUUAACCGAAUAGGGGAGCCGCAGGGAAACCGAGUCUUAACCGGGCGUUAAGUUGCAGGGUAUAGACCCGAAACCCGGUGAUCUAGCCAUGGGCAGGUUGAAGGUUGGGUAACACUAACUGGAGGACCGAACCGACUAAUGUUGAAAAAUUAGCGGAUGACCUGUGGCUGGGGGUGAAAGGCCAAUCAAACCGGGAGAUAGCUGGUUCUCCCCGAAAGCUAUUUAGGUAGCGCCUCGUGAAUUCAUCUCCGGGGGUAGAGCACUGUUUCGGCCAGGGGGCCAUCCCGGCUUACCAACCCGAUGCAAACUGCGAAUACCGGAGAAUGUUAUCACGGGAGACACACGGCGGGUGCUAACGUCCGUCGUGAAGAGGGAAACAACCCAGACCGCCAGCUAAGGUCCCAAAGUCAUGGUUAAGUGGGAAACGAUGUGGGAAGGCCCAGACAGCCAGGAUGUUGGCUUAGAAGCAGCCAUCAUUUAAAGAAAGCGUAAUAGCUCACUGGUCGAGUCGGCCUGCGCGGAAGAUGUAACGGGGCUAAACCAUGCAC
Molecule: ribosomal RNA, 805 nt
Filed under: Salmonella enterica subsp. arizonae
Lineage: Bacteria; Pseudomonadati; Pseudomonadota; Gammaproteobacteria; Enterobacterales; Enterobacteriaceae
Description: partial 23S ribosomal RNA
Rfam family: Bacterial large subunit ribosomal RNA
Source: RNAcentral